GACAUAGGUGGCAAACGUUAUCCGGAAUCACUGGGCGUAAAGCGCACGUAGGCGGCUUUCUAAGUCAGGGGUGAAAUCCUGGAGCUCAACUCCAGAACUGCCUUUGAUACUGGAGAGCUAGAGUCCGGAAGAGGUGAGUGGAACUGCGAGUGUAGAGGUGAAAUUCGUAGAUAUUCGCAAGAACACCAGUGGCGAAGGCGGCUCACUGGUCCGGUACUGACGCUGAGGUGCGAAAGCGUGGGGAGCAAACAGG
Molecule: ribosomal RNA, 253 nt
Filed under: uncultured bacterium
Lineage: Bacteria
Description: partial 16S ribosomal RNA
Rfam family: Bacterial small subunit ribosomal RNA
Source: RNAcentral